RNAcentral lists this unclassified non-coding RNA (243 nucleotides) under Ascomycota sp. RNAcentral describes it as "partial contains small subunit ribosomal RNA, internal transcribed spacer 1, and 5.8S ribosomal RNA". The stretch from base 1 to 47 matches the Rfam family "Eukaryotic small subunit ribosomal RNA", at positions 1785 to 1831 of the family's 1831-position model. The record is from RNAcentral. Lineage: Eukaryota; Fungi; Ascomycota.
AAAGUCGUAACAAGGUCUCCGUUGGUGAACCAGCGGAGGGAUCAUUACAGAGUUGCAAAACUCCCUAAACCAUUGUGAACGUUACCUAAACCGUUGCUUCGGCGGGCGGCCACGGGCUCACCCCCGCGGCCCCCGGCCCCCUCAAGGGCGCCCGCCGGAGGCUCUAACUCUUGAAUUUAUGGCCUCUCUGAGUCUUCUGUACUGAAUAAGUCAAAACUUUCAACAACGGAUCUCUUGGUUCUG